GCAGAUCGAGCGGAGGAUGGGUAGCUUGCUCCCUGAUGUUAGCGGCGGACGGGUGAGUAACACGUGGGUAACCUGCCUGUAAGACUGGGAUAACUCCGGGAAACCGGGGCUAAUACCGGAUGGUUGUUUGAACCGCAUGGUUCAGACAUAAAAGGUGGCUUCGGCUACCACUUACAGAUGGACCCGCGGCGCAUUAGCUAGUUGGUGAGGUAACGGCUCACCAAGGCGACGAUGCGUAGCCGACCUGAGAGGGUGAUCGGCCACACUGGGACUGAGACACGGCCCAGACUCCUACGGGAGGCAGCAGUAGGGAAUCUUCCGCAAUGGACGAAAGUCUGACGGAGCAACGCCGCGUGAGUGAUGAAGGUUUUCGGAUCGUAAAGCUCUGUUGUUAGGGAAGAACAAGUGCCGUUCAAAUAGGGCGGCACCUUGACGGUACCUAACCAGAAAGCCACGGCUAACUACGUGCCAACAGCCGCGGUAAUACGUAGGUGGCAAAGCGUUUGUCCGGGAAUUAAUUGGGGCGUAAAAGGGCUCGGCAGGCCGUUUCCUUAAGUCUGAUGUGAAAACCCCCCGGCUCAACCCGGGGGAGGGUUAUUGGAAACUGGGGGAAAUUUGGGUGC
This 623-nucleotide ribosomal RNA is filed under the name Bacillus amyloliquefaciens. RNAcentral's name for it is "bacterial SSU rRNA". It matches the Rfam family "Bacterial small subunit ribosomal RNA", at positions 57 to 649 of the family's 1533-position model. The record is from RNAcentral. Lineage: Bacteria; Bacillati; Bacillota; Bacilli; Caryophanales; Bacillaceae.